Molecule: long non-coding RNA, 434 nt
Organism: Apis laboriosa (Himalayan honeybee)
Lineage: Eukaryota; Metazoa; Arthropoda; Insecta; Hymenoptera; Apidae
Exons: 3
Source: RefSeq, a predicted model, not a curated record
AGACAAUAUGCAGCGAGUAGGUGGCCAAGUGAGAACACGUGGGCGACUGCUAUGGCAAGGACGUUCCUAACUGUCGCGGUUUCGUUACCAGCUUACCGUUUCUCCCAUCGAAUCACCGAGUUCACGAGCCAUCAUCGACGAAGCCGCCCGGAUCCCCUUCGAUCCCCUGCGCAACAUCUGCUCUGAUCAUGAACGCAUAAAGGCAAGAAACCGUGAGAAAGCACCGAAUCGAGGGGCAAUUAAGAGAUCGGCGAUCGAUCGAGGGAUCCACCGUUUCCCGGAAACGACACCGGUGCCGCAGGAAAACGGUUGCUGGGAAAGAAACGGUUCUCGAGUUAAAGGGAGAGCUCAUGCGCUUGGAAGGUGCUUUUGGAGAACGAAUAUUUCGAGACGAGUGUAAAUCUCUAUUUCUCUUAUUUUAUUCUCGAGCCAAA